GCUCAGGAUGAACGCUGGCGGCGUGCUUAACACAUGCAAGUCGAACGGGAAAUAUUUCAUUGAGACUUCGGUGGAUUUGAUCUAUUUCUAGUGGCGGACGGGUGAGUAACGCGUGGGUAACCUGCCUUAUACAGGGGGAUAACAGUCAGAAAUGGCUGCUAAUACCGCAUAAGCGCACAGAGCUGCAUGGCUCAGUGUGAAAAACUCCGGUGGUAUAAGAUGGACCCGCGUUGGAUUAGCUAGUUGGUGGGGUAACGGCCCACCAAGGCGACGAUCCAUAGCCGGCCUGAGAGGGUGAACGGCCACAUUGGGACUGAGACACGGCCCAGACUCCUACGGGAGGCAGCAGUA
This 351-nucleotide ribosomal RNA is filed under the name uncultured bacterium. RNAcentral's name for it is "bacterial SSU rRNA". It matches the Rfam family "Bacterial small subunit ribosomal RNA", at positions 22 to 356 of the family's 1533-position model. The record is from RNAcentral.